RNAcentral lists this ribosomal RNA (305 nucleotides) under uncultured bacterium. RNAcentral's name for it is "bacterial SSU rRNA". It matches the Rfam family "Bacterial small subunit ribosomal RNA", at positions 333 to 654 of the family's 1533-position model. The record is from RNAcentral.
GUCCGCCUACGGGGGGCAGCAGUGGGGAAUAUUGCACAAUGGGGGAAACCCUGAUGCAGCAACGCCGCGUGGGUGAAGGAGCGUUUCGGCGCGUAAAGCCCUGUCAGCGGGGAAGAAGAAAGACGGUUCCCGACCAAGAAGCCCCGGCUAACUACGUGCCAGCAGCCGCGGUAAUACGUAGGGGGCGAGCGUUAUCCGGAAUUACUGGGUGUAAAGGGAGCGUAGACGGCGAGGUAAGCCUGAAGUGGAAGCCCGCGGCCCAACCGCGGAACUGCUUUGGGAACUGUGUUGUUGGAGUAUGGAGG